This 457-nucleotide ribosomal RNA is filed under the name uncultured bacterium. RNAcentral describes it as "partial 16S ribosomal RNA". It matches the Rfam family "Bacterial small subunit ribosomal RNA", at positions 28 to 523 of the family's 1533-position model. The record is from RNAcentral.
GAUGAACGCUGGCGGCGUGCCUAAUACAUGCAAGUCGUACGGAAAGGCCCUUCGGGGUACUCGAGUGGCGGACGGCUGAGUAACGCGUGGGAACGUGCCCCAAAGUGAGGGAUAACGCACCGAAAGGUGUGCUAAUACCGCAUAUGGUCUUCGGAUUAAAGCUUCGGCGCUUUGGGAGCGGCCCGUGUACGAUUAGAUAGUUGGUGAGGUAAUGGCUCACCAAGUCGACGAUCGUUAGCUGGUCUGAGAGGAUGAUCAGCCAGACUGGGACUGAGACACGGCCCAGACUCCUACGGGAGGCAGCAGUAAGGAAUCUUCCACAAUGGGGGCAACCCUGAUGGAGCAACGCCGCGUGCAGGAUGAAGGUUUUCGGAUCGUAAACUGCUUUUAUAAGUGGAGAAUAUGACGGUAACUUAUGAAUAAGGAUCGGCUAACUACGUGCCAGCCGCCGCGGUAA